UCCUACGGGAGGCAGCAGUAGGGAAUCUUCCGCAAUGGACGAAAGUCUGACGGAGCAACGCCGCGUGAGUGAUGAAGGUUUUCGGAUCGUAAAGCUCUGUUGUUAGGGAAGAACAAGUGCAAGAGUAACUGCUUGCACCUUGACGGUACCUAACCAGAAAGCCACGGCUAACUACGUGCCAGCAGCCGCGGUAAUACGUAGGUGGCAAGCGUUGUCCGGAAUUAUUGGGCGUAAAGGGCUCGCAGGCGGUUUCUUAAGUCUGAUGUGAAAGCCCCCGGCUCAACCGGGGAGGGUCAUUGGAAACUGGGAAACUUGAGUGCAGAAGAGGAGAGUGGAAUUCCACGUGUAGCGGUGAAAUGCGUAGAGAUGUGGAGGAACACCAGUGGCGAAGGCGACUCUCUGGUCUGUAACUGACGCUGAGGAGCGAAAGCGUGGGGAGCGAACAGGAUUAGAUACCCUGGUAGUCCACGCCGUAAACGAUGAGUGCUAAGUGUUAGGGGGUUUCCGCCCCUUAGUGCUGCAGCUAACGCAUUAAGCACUCCGCCUGGGGAGUACGGUCGCAAGACUGAAACUCAAAGGAAUUGACGG
Molecule: ribosomal RNA, 588 nt
Filed under: uncultured bacterium
Lineage: Bacteria
Description: bacterial SSU rRNA
Rfam family: Bacterial small subunit ribosomal RNA
Source: RNAcentral